RNAcentral lists this unclassified non-coding RNA (150 nucleotides) under uncultured Lophiostomataceae. RNAcentral's name for it is "sequence contains ITS2". Lineage: Eukaryota; Fungi; Ascomycota; Dothideomycetes; Pleosporales; Lophiostomataceae. The record is from RNAcentral.
ACACCCUCAAGCUCCGCUUGGUGUUGGGCGUCUGUCCCGCCUUGUGCGCGGACUCGCCCCAAAAGAAUUGGCAGCGGUUUGCCAGCCCGUAGCGUAGCACUAUUGCGCCUGCGAGGCCCGGCGGAUCGGCGUCCACGAAGCACAACCCCA